GACGAACGCUGGCGGCGUGGAUUAGGCAUGCAAGUCGAACGGUAUCAUCCUUUCGGGGGUGAGAGAGUGGCGAACUGGUGAGUAACACGUAGGUUAUCUACCCUCAAGACGGGGACAACCCAGGGAAACUUGGGCUAAUACCGGAUGUGAGCAACUUUUAGUUGUUUGAAAGGUGGCGUAAGCUGUCGCUUGGGGAUGGGCCUGCGUCCUAUUAGUUAGUUGGUGAGGUAACGGCUCACCUAGGCAAUGAUAGGUAGGCGGCCUUAACGGGUGGUCGCCCACACUGGGAUUGAGAUACGGCCCAGACUCCUACGGGAGGCAGCAGUCGAGAAUAGUCUACAAUGGUCGGAAGACUGAUAGUGCGACGCCGCGUGAACGAUGAAUCCCUUCGGGGUGUAAAGUUCUUUUAUAUGUGAGCAGUGCUUCUUAUAUUAACAGUAUGGGGAGAGAGAUAUUAGCAUAUGAAUAAGCAACGGCUAACUCCGUGCCAGCAGCCGCGGUAAAAUCACG
This 510-nucleotide ribosomal RNA is filed under the name uncultured bacterium. RNAcentral describes it as "bacterial SSU rRNA". It matches the Rfam family "Bacterial small subunit ribosomal RNA", at positions 28 to 527 of the family's 1533-position model. The record is from RNAcentral.